CAGCACCUUCACUCCCAACACUGAGAAGAAAAUAGAAGACGAAGGCAGCAUCCAUCCGACAUCUUUCUCCAACAAAGGAGAUGGCGGGCCUUUGCUGGAUGGCUGUGACACUCGCCUUCUUCCUGUCUACUGAAAACAGUUUUGCUGCUGUGGACCAGAAUAGGCUUGCAAGUAUUGUAAAUGGCAUCUUGAAAGCGUACAGAACAGAAGGCAUGUUCAGUCUGGCUGUAAGCAUCCCAGAUGACCAGAAUCGGAAAAUCUCCGAUAUCCUGCAGCAAGUCUUUCAAAGUGAUCCUGUUGAAGACGUAGCAAAACAGCUUGAUGAGAACAAGUUGUACGUCGGCAACAGGGUGGUUGCAGCCAUACCUCUGCCUCUGAAAAAAAAAAAAACUGAUCAUGCAGAGUCACGUGUUGCGGACUACUUGGUCCACUUGUUCAACCGUCGCGAUGAGAAUGACUUGUUGCUUUUCUAUGUUUAUGCCUCCCCAUGUGUUGACAAAUGUACAAAUAACUUACAUUCUGGGAAUAUCCUCGGAAGGAUAAAUCUAAUUCAGCAAUGGAAGAGCCACGCUUUUGUGUUUUCUAAAAUCUUCAAACCUUUGCUUGACUCGAAGAAGAACACAAAAGAAACAAAAAACCCAAAACACUGGGUAAAUACAGCCAUUGGGCGACUCGGGUCGGUAGUUGGUCUUGACAACAUAUUCCGCUGUGAAAGAGAAAAUGGUUGGAUGCAGUGCAUCAGCUGCUCCAGUAAUGAUCAAGUUACACAGGCUUGUGUUUCAGAUACAAAUACACAACCUCAGCAAGUUCAGGUUGGCAGUGAAA
Morone saxatilis (striped sea-bass) is the source of this 825-nucleotide long non-coding RNA. RefSeq lists it as uncharacterized. Lineage: Eukaryota; Metazoa; Chordata; Actinopteri; Moronidae. The record is from RefSeq and is a predicted model, not a curated record. The transcript has 3 exons.